Molecule: transfer RNA, 68 nt
Filed under: Euconocephalus pallidus
Lineage: Eukaryota; Metazoa; Arthropoda; Insecta; Orthoptera; Tettigoniidae
Description: tRNA-Glu
Source: RNAcentral
AUUUAUAUAGUUUAAAUCUAAAACCAUACAUUUUCAUUGUAUAAAUAAUAUAAUUAUAUUUAUAAAUA